This 688-nucleotide ribosomal RNA is filed under the name uncultured bacterium. RNAcentral's name for it is "bacterial SSU rRNA". It matches the Rfam family "Bacterial small subunit ribosomal RNA", at positions 8 to 692 of the family's 1533-position model. The record is from RNAcentral.
AGAGUUUGAUCAUGGCUCAGGAUGAAUGUUGCGGCAGGCUUAAUACAUGCAGGUCGAGGGGUAACAUGGGUAGCAAUACCUGAUGACGACCGGCAAACGGGUGCGGAACAUGUACGCAACCUUCCCAAAACUGGUGAAUAGCCCUCCGAAAGGAGGAUUAAUACACCGUAAGAUAAUGAAGAGGCAUCUCUUUAUUAUUAUAGCUCCGGCGGUUUUGGAUGGGCGUGCACCUGAUUAGGUAGUUGGUGAGGUAACGGCUCACCAAGCCUGCGAUCAGUAACUGGUGUGAGAGCACGACCAGUCACACGGGCACUGAGACACGGGCCCGACUCCUACGGGAGGCAGCAGUAAGGAAUAUUGGUCAAUGGACGAAAGUCUGAACCAGCCAUGCCGCGUGAAGGAUGACGGCCCUCUGGGUUGUAAACUUCUUUUAUAUGGGACGAAAAAAGGGAAUUCUUUCUCACUUGACGGUACCAUAGGAAUAAGCACCGGCUAACUCCGUGCCAGCAGCCGCGGUAAUACGGAGGGUGCAAGCGUUAUCCGGAUUCACUGGGUUUAAAGGGUGCGUAGGUGGGUAGGUAAGUCAGUGGUGAAAUCUCCGAGCUUAACUCGGAAACUGCCAUUGAUACUAUUUAUCUUGAAUAUUUUGGAGGUGAGCGGAAUAUGUCAUGUAGCGGUGAAAUGCUUA